AACACAAAUCAUGGCAGGAAUAAGUCAGAACUGGAGGUAGAAAAAACAGAUAACAGAUUAUUGCAAAAAGCUGGGUUAUUGAGGACAAGGGGCUGCAAGACGGCAGCACUGUGGGCAGAAGGGCAAUAAUGGAGCUGUUCACGGACUGGAUGCGGACUGUGAUGGAUCAGCAAGUCAGUCAUGAUGUCGUAACAACCACUAUGCUUCUGCACUUGUCCUUCUGACUUGUAAGGGAGACGUCAACCAAUAAAAGUAAGCACAUGAUGUGAAGGACCAACAUGUACCAGGACAUUGGCCACUUCCUGCUUUUACUGCAUUUACUUCGUUUGGCCGUCUUCCACUGUCACUACUGUUUCCUUGACAACCAAAGCACAGAGUCCUCUCCUUAAGCUCUCUACUACCUGUGACCCCUGAACUGUAUGAAGUACAUCCCUGAACCUGUGGAAUGAAGACGGGUGUUUCAGUCCACUUACUGGACUCAAAGUCAUCCACAUUUAUGACUAAAACUUAAAUGCGA
This is a long non-coding RNA of Cervus elaphus (red deer), 517 nucleotides long. RefSeq lists it as uncharacterized. The record is from RefSeq and is a predicted model, not a curated record. Lineage: Eukaryota; Metazoa; Chordata; Mammalia; Artiodactyla; Cervidae. The transcript is spliced from 3 exons.